Tribolium castaneum (red flour beetle) is the source of this 1157-nucleotide long non-coding RNA. RefSeq lists it as uncharacterized. NCBI's taxonomy places the organism in Eukaryota, Metazoa, Arthropoda, Insecta, Coleoptera, Tenebrionidae. The transcript is spliced from 2 exons. The record is from RefSeq and is a predicted model, not a curated record.
GUCCAAAAUACUCAAAAUUCAGAACUAAUUUAAAACAAAAAUUCUCAUUUAGUAAUCAAUGUCACAAUUUUGCAAAGAAAUAUUCGAUUUUAUUCGCUUUAUAAGUAAUAAGAGGCACUGAAAAAACUUAAUACUUUAACGCCCUAAACUUAUAAGGUUGUCUUUCAGUAUGUCAAAAGCCAAAAUAGUCCAAGGUGUAAAUUAAUGUCUAAUGCAUUGAAACUGUAACGAAAUUUUUUUAAACAAUUUAAAUAAUAUUUAUAAAGUAAAAAGGUUAAUUGUCUUCCGGAAAAUCUUCAGCAUUUUGAACAGUAGGAUGAUUUCUGUAAUUGUUCUAAUAUUCCUUUGGUAUCGAUUUAAGCUGUAUCAUCAAGUUAUCGUAAUUUCCGUUACUGAUGAAUUUGUGAUCAUUUCUAAGCUGGAGAAGGCAAUAUCAAAGACUUUUUGGUUUUCUUCUUACUUUCACACAAGAGGAAAUUUUACAAUUUCUGGUAAGAUUAGCUCAGUCGUUACAGGUGAAAAAAUUAAAAUUAUUUUCCUACAUGCUUAGUGUUUCAUUUUGUAAAUAAUGCCGUUUGUUAUAGAAAGUGUGUCCAAUGUUCACUUUUAAUUAUUAUUUAUUUUUUGGAAAAAAUGGACUAGGCUGUUGAUGCUCACAAACAAAAAUAAAGCGAAAUUAAACUCAUCUGACAAUGUUAACAAAAAUAUUUAUCACUUCACCUGUUGAUAAAAUGCUGACUAAUUAAAUUAGCAUUUGCUUUUUUGGUGUGUUUAUUUGUGAAAUGAUCUUAGGUUUUUCUUUCGAUUUACGUUCCAUUGCAACUCUCAAAACCCACAUUCGAAACGGUAACAACAAAAUAAUCGGCUGUUAAACGCGAAUUUAUUACAUCAUUAACGGCCAAACAAGCCCAUUAAUUACAAUUGCUUGCACAAUGGGAGUAAUACUGACCAGAUCACUUUUGUUCCUGAAUCCAGUAAAGCAGACAACGACCCCCGUCAUAGCCAGGUUGAAGAGGGGCCUCGUGUUGUCUGGAAGUGGCUCAUUCUUGUUGGCUAGCUGCUGCAGAGCCAAGGGCCCCAUAAGGGACUGCUUCUGUUUAUAUAAACAAUUAAAUACGUCUCCUUCGAAACUCUCUAAUAUAAAAACGGUACUAAAA